This is a transfer RNA of Cavia porcellus (domestic guinea pig), 64 nucleotides long. It matches the Rfam family "tRNA". Rfam says of the family: Transfer RNA (tRNA) molecules are approximately 80 nucleotides in length. Their secondary structure includes four short double-helical elements and three loops (D, anti-codon, and T loops). Further hydrogen bonds mediate the characteristic L-shaped molecular structure. tRNAs have two regions of fundamental functional importance: the anti-codon, which is responsible for specific mRNA codon recognition, and the 3' end, to which the tRNAs corresponding amino acid is attached (by aminoacyl-tRNA synthetases). tRNAs cope with the degeneracy of the genetic code in two manners: having more than one tRNA (with a specific anti-codon) for a particular amino acid; and 'wobble' base-pairing, i.e. permitting non-standard base-pairing at the 3rd anti-codon position. The record is from Rfam. Lineage: Eukaryota; Metazoa; Chordata; Mammalia; Rodentia; Caviidae.
GGGGAUUUAGCUCAGCGGCAUAAGCGCCUGCCUUGCAAGCAGGCAGUUGUGAGCUCGAUCCCCG